This 509-nucleotide ribosomal RNA is filed under the name uncultured bacterium. Its description in RNAcentral is "bacterial SSU rRNA". It matches the Rfam family "Bacterial small subunit ribosomal RNA", at positions 29 to 520 of the family's 1533-position model. The record is from RNAcentral.
AACUAACGCUGGCGGCGUGCCUAACACAUGCAAGUCGAACGAGAAAGUUGGCUUCGGCCGAUGAGUAAAGUGGCGCACGGGUGAGUAACGCGUGGAUAAUCUGCCCUUAAGUUCGGAAUAACGUACCGAAAGGUGCGCUAAUACCGGAUAAUACUGAGUGACUACUGUUGCUUAGUCAAAGAAGGCUUCUGUUUACAUGCUUUUGCUGAAGGAUGAGUCCGCGUACCAUUAGCUGGUUGGUGGGGUAAUGGCCUACCAAGGCUACGAUGGUUAGCUGGUCUGAGAGGAUGAUCAGUCACACUGGAACUGAGACACGGUCCAGACUCCUACGGGAGGCAGCAGUGAGGAAUCUUGCGCAAUGGGGGAAACCCUGACGCAGCAACGCCGCGUGAGUGAGGAAGGCCUUCGGUCGUAAGACUCUGUCGGGUGGAAGGAAACGACGAUGGUGGCUAAUACCAUCUAUGCUUGACGGUACCGACCGAAAGGAAGACGACCGGCCGUAACUACCG